RNAcentral lists this ribosomal RNA (112 nucleotides) under Microtus ochrogaster (prairie vole). Lineage: Eukaryota; Metazoa; Chordata; Mammalia; Rodentia; Cricetidae. The record is from RNAcentral.
CUCUCAAGCCAUACCUGAUCUAAAUGCACCUGAUCUCAUCUGAUCACAGAAGCUAAUCAAGGAUCAGCCUGGUUAGUAUUUGGAUGGGAGAUGUCUUUGGUUAUUUGAGAAU